This 513-nucleotide ribosomal RNA is filed under the name uncultured bacterium. RNAcentral describes it as "bacterial SSU rRNA". It matches the Rfam family "Bacterial small subunit ribosomal RNA", at positions 16 to 518 of the family's 1533-position model. The record is from RNAcentral.
AUUCUGGCUCAGGAUGAACGCUAGCUACAGGCUUAACACAUGCAAGUCGCGGGGCAGCAUAUAGAUAGCUUGCUAUUAUGAUGGCGACCGGCGCACGGGUGAGUAACGCGUAUCCAACCUUCCCCAUAGUAGGGUAUAGCCCGGCGAAAGUCGGAUUAAUCCCCUAUGUUGUUUGAAGCGGACAUCUAAUUCAAACCAAAGAUUCAUCGCUAUGGGAUGGGGAUGCGUCUGAUUAGGUUGCAGGCGGGGUAACGGCCCACCUGGCCGACGAUCAGUAGGGGUUCUGAGAGGAAGGUCCCCCACACUGGUACUGAGACACGGACCAGACUCCUACGGGAGGCAGCAGUGAGGAAUAUUGGUCAAUGGGCGCGAGCCUGAACCAGCCAAGUAGCGUGCAAGGAUGACGGCCCUACGGGUUGUAAACUGCUUUUAUGCGGGGAUAAAGUGCGGCACGUGUGCCGUUUUGCAGGUACCGCAUGAAUAAGGACCGGCUAAUUCCGUGCCAGCAGCCGC